UUGGUUUGGGCCAAGGGGUAAAAGCCCACCGGUUUUGUUGGUUAAUUUUUGGGCCAAAAUAGCAGAUUGGCCUACUUCCAUUUGCCUUGGAUUUUCGGUUGGGCUUCGAAGGUUUUGGCCCAAGCAAAUAAGAAAAUGGUCCAAUGGUUUGGACCAUUAAGAAACCAGAAAAUGAUUUUGCAAAUCGGUCCUUGAAGUUCUCCUUAAUUGUACUGUGCCCCUGGAUAUUUUCAACUGCUUUCAAUUCAGUCCCUGGUUUAAUUGCAAAUGAGUCCCUGAACUUUAUUUUUCUUUAAUUUUGGCCCCAAAAUUUUGCCAAUCUUUGCAAUCAAGUCCUUUCUUUUCUUGACUUCUUAAAUGUGGGUUGUUGACAUGAUUUAAUUGAUUCAAAUUCAUGUUUAUUUUUAUUCUUUGUGAUUAUUUGUCAAAUAAAUUGGCACCUUGACUCCUUUGUUAUUUUGGAGGGUAAAUAAGUUGAUUUCACUCCAUUAGAGCUUCAUUUCAAGGGAGGUAUAAAUUCUUUUAUCCCUUUUGCCUCUCCUAUGUGAUCCAAUGUGCUAAGUGUGAAUCGCAUGCCUAAUUUGCUUUCAUUACCAUUCUUUAGUUCCAUUAUUUCAUUCAUUCUUGUUUUUAUUAAAUUAUUCUUUUAAAUGGGGUAUGUGUACACCUCUUGGCUUGUAAUAGAUAGGGUGAGCUUUCUUGUCCAUUUUCCCUUUCCCCCCUUUGUUUUAAUUAGCAAAUGUAAUAAGUUCAUUGCUUGCUUUCGCUGCUACGUGUUUAAUCGCUUUAUUAGGUCCUUGCAUCUAGUCAAGCAUGCUAAGUGUUAUGUGCUACGUGUUUAUAAGUGAUUCGCAUGUCUACUCGCUUUUUAUAGUCAUGAAUGAAUGUGAUGGAUGAAUGGACGUCACCACACUAGUCCAAUGCUAGUUGUGGCCCCCUUUCUCGUCACCACACUAGUCCAACGUUAGUUGUGGUUCAUUGUUCCGUUUCCACUAGUCCAAUGCUAGUAGAAAUCCAUAGAAAGGGCUAGUCCAACGCUAGACCCUUAGGGAUUUUUCCUCGUUAGUACAUGUUUGCAUGUUCAUCACAUGUCAUGCAUUCUUUUUAGUUUUAUCAUUUUGCAUGCCCCUCGAACCCCUUUUCCCUCCAUUUUUAGGAUUUUUGCAUUUCAUGCUAGUUAUAGGGUUCAUUUGCUUGAGAGUCCCCUUAAAUAUGGGAUAUAGACGAGUGUGGCUUUUUCUAAGCCUUAGCACGCUUGUAUCCUCUCUAUCAAAGGGCAAAUUGAGUCACGAUUUAGGUCUCCCCGUACCCAUUAUGCAUGAAUUCCCUAGGUUCAUGCAUCCACUCUAUCAUUACACUUUCAUUUUCUCCCCUCAUUUGCACACGUACACCUUUAUCCCUUCACUUGCACACGAACACUUCUCCCCUCAUUUGCACACGUACACCUUUUUAUCCCUUCACUUGCACACAAACACUUUUAUCAUCACUUGCACACAUGUACUUCAUAUUAUCAUUUCACACACCGCACCUUGCCCACUCACGUGCACAUUUCCAUUUACACAUUCUUAUCUUUUAUUACUUUUUCAAACGCAUGUCAUCACAUUGUAUACAUGCAUUCCAUUCAUUUGCAUCCCACUCGCAUUAUUCGUGACUUCUUCAAAGGAUCGUUAUUGGGCUUCACAAUUAAUGUGAUUGGCACCACUCAACCUUUGAAGGGAAAUUUCCCCC
RNAcentral lists this long non-coding RNA (1728 nucleotides) under Coffea arabica (coffee). Its description in RNAcentral is "long non-coding RNA (CARA_LNC004404)". The record is from RNAcentral. Lineage: Eukaryota; Viridiplantae; Streptophyta; Magnoliopsida; Gentianales; Rubiaceae.